GAAAUACUCCCUCCGUCCGGAAAUACUUGUCGGAGGAAUGGAUGUAUCUAGUCAUACUUUAGUUUUGGAUGCAUCCAUUUUUAUCCAUUUCCGUGACAAGUAUUUCCGGACGGAGGGAGUAUGUU
Non-coding RNA from Triticum urartu, 125 nucleotides. The record is from Rfam. Lineage: Eukaryota; Viridiplantae; Streptophyta; Magnoliopsida; Poales; Poaceae.